This 72-nucleotide transfer RNA is filed under the name Ovis aries (sheep). It matches the Rfam family "tRNA". From Rfam's summary of the family: Transfer RNA (tRNA) molecules are approximately 80 nucleotides in length. Their secondary structure includes four short double-helical elements and three loops (D, anti-codon, and T loops). The record is from Rfam by way of RNAcentral. Lineage: Eukaryota; Metazoa; Chordata; Mammalia; Artiodactyla; Bovidae.
UCCCUGGUGGCUCAGAUGGCAAAGCAUCUGCCUGCAAUGCAGGAGACCCAGGUUCUAUUCCUGGGUUGAGAA